CAACCGCAAAACAAGCAGAGGGGGCUUAGUGGUGGGGUGACUGCGUACCUUUUGUAUAAUGGGUCAGCGACUUAUAUUCUGUAGCAAGGUUAACCGAAUAGGGGAGCCGUAGGGAAACCGAGUCUUAACCGGGCGUUAAGUUGCAGGGUAUAGACCCGAAACCCGGUGAUCUAGCCAUGGGCAGGUUGAAGGUUGGGUAACACUAACUGGAGGACCGAACCGACUAAUGUUGAAAAAUUAGCGGAUGACCUGUGGCUGGGGGUGAAAGGCCAAUCAAACCGGGAGAUAGCUGGUUCUCCCCGAAAGCUAUUUAGGUAGCGCCUCGUGAAUUCAUCUCCGGGGGUAGAGCACUGUUUCGGCUAGGGGGCCAUCCCGGCUUACCAACCCGAUGCAAACUGCGAAUACCGGAGAAUGUUAUCACGGGAGACACACGGCGGGUGCUAACGUCCGUCGUGAAGAGGGAAACAACCCAGACCGCCAGCUAAGGUCCCAAAGUCAUGGUUAAGUGGGAAACGAUGUGGGAAGGCCCAGACAGCCAGGAUGUUGGCUUAGAAGCAGCCAUCAUUUAAAGAAAGCGUAAUAGCUCACUGGUCGAGUCGGCCUGCGCGGAAGAUGUAACGGGGCUAAACCAU
Molecule: ribosomal RNA, 632 nt
Filed under: Salmonella enterica
Lineage: Bacteria; Pseudomonadati; Pseudomonadota; Gammaproteobacteria; Enterobacterales; Enterobacteriaceae
Description: partial 23S ribosomal RNA
Rfam family: Bacterial large subunit ribosomal RNA
Source: RNAcentral